ACUUACAGCCGAUAGAUGGCAGCCAUAAAAUCAUCAAAAUCAAAGAGGUGGGUUCUCCAUCAAGCUUCCAAAGUUCAAAAGAUUCAUUGCUACUUCAAGUGGAAUGAUGCAAUGGGCACUAUAUCGUAUGAAGAAUUCACCAGUGGCUGCUUAGAGUUUCUUAAGUUGUCACAGGAACUUGAAGACGGUUGGGAAGCCAAAGGUGACGCCCAAAAAGAGGGAAACUUUUAUCUUAUCAAGUUGGAGCGCAUUGAAGAUGUUUCACAAGAUUGCCUUCUUCCAUGUGAUAAAGAUGACAGUGGAAAAGUCAUGGAUAUGAAAGACAGUCUAGAAGCUCUUGGCAUUACGGAAGACGAGGAUCUGUGUCCACCCGAUCCUUCAACAAUUAGCAGUGUUUGUUCGAAAGGCAUUGUAACCUACGAAUAUCACAUUACCUACAGUCUGAGCUAUUCUGUUCCUGUGUUGUUUUUUAAUGCUUACUAUCACUCGGGGAAACUCUUAACCCUUGAGGAAAUGUGGAAAAGAGUAGAUCUACAGCACAGUGAACAGAUCCUACAUAGAAAGUGGGAGAGUCUUACACAGCAAGAACAUCCUGUGCUUGGCAGACCAUUCUAUCAGUUACAUCCGUGUAAUACUUCAAAAUUAAUGGCAGAGUUUAAUAAAGGCUGUAAAGGUUUAACAACUUUUAAGGGCCAAAGGUACAUAACAAGCUGGCUCAGUACUUUUGGACAAGUCAUUGGUCUAAAACUUCCAAUCUGUUAUUUUCAGUGCUUAUAAUUGUGAAUAAAAUUUAUGAAUGAACAAAGAUUAGAUAUUAUUAUAAAUGGACAUAUACUGGAUAUUGUUGCUUAUUAUGUGAAUAAAAUUUAUGAAUGAACAAAGAUUAGAUAUUAUUAUAAAUGGACAUGUACUGGAUAUUUUUGCUUAUUGAAGAAAGUAGAUAAAAAACAGAAAUACAUUUUCUGCAAAUUGUUGGUCAUGCAACUGAAUAUUUAAGAAAUAAGGUUGGAAUAGA
RNAcentral lists this unclassified non-coding RNA (1015 nucleotides) under Penaeus japonicus. RNAcentral describes it as "ubiquitin-like-conjugating enzyme ATG10, transcript variant X6". Lineage: Eukaryota; Metazoa; Arthropoda; Malacostraca; Decapoda; Penaeidae. The record is from RNAcentral.